This is a non-coding RNA of Canis lupus familiaris (dog), 83 nucleotides long. The record is from Rfam. Lineage: Eukaryota; Metazoa; Chordata; Mammalia; Carnivora; Canidae.
GCCUGGGUGGCUCAGCGGUUGAGCAUCUGCCUUUGGCUCAGGGUGUGAUCCCAGAGUCGUGGGAUCAAGUCCCACAUCAGGCU